RNAcentral lists this ribosomal RNA (631 nucleotides) under uncultured Actinomycetes bacterium. Its description in RNAcentral is "bacterial SSU rRNA". It matches the Rfam family "Bacterial small subunit ribosomal RNA", at positions 242 to 885 of the family's 1533-position model. The record is from RNAcentral. Lineage: Bacteria; Bacillati; Actinomycetota; Actinomycetes.
CAGCUUGUUGGUGAGGUAACGGCUCACCAAGGCGACGACGGGUAGCUGGUCUGAGAGGACGAUCAGCCACACUGGGACUGAGACACGGCCCAGACUCCUACGGGAGGCAGCAGCAGGGAAUAUUGCGCAAUGGGCGAAAGCCUGACGCAGCGACGCCGCGUGGGGGAUGAAGGCCUUCGGGUUGUAAACCCCUUUCAGGAGGGAAGAAAUUGACGGUACCUCCAAAAGAAGCCCCGGCCAACUACGUGCCAGCAGCCGCGGUAAGACGUAGGGGGCGAGCGUUGUCCGGAAUCAUUGGGCGUAAAGGGCUCGUAGGCGGCUCGGUAAGUCGAUCGUGAAAUCCCGGAGCUCAACUCCGGAACUGCGGUCGAUACUGUCGUGGCUAGAGUCAGGUAGAGGAGAGUAGAAUUCCCGGUGUAGCGGUGGAAUGCGCAGAUAUCGGGAGGAAUACCAUUUAGCGAAGGCGGCUCUCUGGGCCUGUACUGACGCUGAGGAGCGAAAGCGUGGGUAGCAAACAGGAUUAGAUACCCUGGUAGUCCACGCCGUAAACGUUGGGCACUAGACGUGGUGGCCUGACCAAGGGCUGCUGUGUCGACGCUAACGCAUUAAGUGCCCCGCCUGGGGAGUACGG